RNAcentral lists this ribosomal RNA (500 nucleotides) under uncultured bacterium. RNAcentral's name for it is "partial 16S ribosomal RNA". It matches the Rfam family "Bacterial small subunit ribosomal RNA", at positions 30 to 523 of the family's 1533-position model. The record is from RNAcentral.
AUUGAACGCUGGCGGCAUGCCUUACACAUGCAAGUCGAACGGCAGCGCGGGCUUCGGCCUGGCGGCGAGUGGCGAACGGGUGAGUAAUAUAUCGGAACGUACCCAAGAGUGGGGGAUAACGUAGCGAAAGUUACGCUAAUACCGCAUACGAUCUAAGGAUGAAAGCAGGGGACCGCAAGGCCUUGUGCUCCUGGAGCGGCCGAUAUCUGAUUAGCUAGUUGGUGGGGUAAAGGCCCACCAAGGCAUCGAUCAGUAGCUGGUCUGAGAGGACGACCAGCCACACUGGAACUGAGACACGGUCCAGACUCCUACGGGAGGCAGCAGUGGGGAAUUUUGGACAAUGGGGGCAACCCUGAUCCAGCAAUGCCGCGUGAGUGAAGAAGGCCCUCGGGUUGUAAAGCUCUUUUGUCAGGGAAGAAAAGAUUCGGGCUAAUAUCCCGGGUUCAUGACGGUACCUGAAGAAUAAGCACCGGCUAACUACGUGCCAGCAGCCGCCGCAG